CGAUGCUUGUCAUAUAUAGUCACUUAGACAAGGUAUAGUAUAUUGGUUCUAGUUGAGCAAUAUAGUUAGACUUUUGGAAUGUAAGAAAUAUGUAGAGUUAUGGUUUUGCACCAUUUUAACCCUAAGUUUUAAGUUUACUUCAUGGUGAAGAAAGAGGGUAAAUUAGUAAUUUUACUUUAGUUUUGUCUUUAGUGAGGGAGUGGACUUUGUAAUAAAUCCUAUGUUUAUUUGAUUAAUGUUAGGCUGAAUUAAUUAAGCCAUUAUCUCUUAUGUCACUAAACAAAAAAAUAAAAAUAAAAAACAAAGUUAGAAUCCAAACCUCUUUCUCUCUCUCUCUCUUGUUCGACCAUAGAAGCAACCAAGGGAAGCUCAACAUUUUCCACCAAUUUAAAAAUGAUUUGAGGUGAAUUGAGCUUAGAAAAUUCAAGGGUUUGAUAGUUAAAGUUAAGGAAAGUCUUUUCCCUUUGUUUUCUUUAUUACAAAGUAAGGUUUCAUGCAUGAAUUUUAGGAUUUUAGUUUCUGUACGAACUGGUUGUUUAGGGUUUGUUUUGCUGGGUUCUUUUAUGGUUAAUUAAGUUAAUUCAUGCUGGUUUUGAUGGCUUGGUUGGAGGUUAAGCAUGUGUUGAGCUUUUAAGCUCAAACUUAGGUCAUUUAUAGUGAAAUUUAGUACAGUUGCUUGAUGAUAAAUUUUUUGGUUGGAUUAAGCUAUGUAUUGCUUGUUUAGGUGUUUUGGAGCUUUCAGUGUGAUUUGGGGUUGAAUUCUAGGAUAAAUGAGAUUUUAUGUGUUUUGCAAUAAAAAAUAGCAGCCCCUUUUUCCAGAAACGGUCUACUAUUUUUAGCUGCCAGAGACCCAAAAAAACAACCCCCAAUUUAGGAAAUAACCUACCAUUUUUUAUGGUAUUUUCCCUGAGAAUAUCAUUUGUUAGUGUUUUCUCAAUCUUUAGUGUAUUGUCAUGUUAUCUAUUGAUAGGGAAACUUUUAGUUUUGAGUCUAAGUUCCCAAAAAGUGAUUUAGCGUAUUAUUACUUCAGGGCCUAUAAACCGUCGAGAAGUAGUUUCCACUCAAGUUGAUCGACACAAUUGAAUUUAGAAUCAUGGUAAAGGUAAGGUUGAACAACAGUGAGUACGAGCAGAUGGGGAUUAUACAUAUCGGAGCAGUUAGACCUGGAGUGUUCAAUCUUCAAGACAAUAUGCUUCAUUUUGAUAGUCUCUAGGAAUCAACUUUUGUAACUAAGCAUUUUGUCAAACAAAUUAUAAUAUUGAAAUGGGAUCCCAAAUUAUGGAAAGUAUUUAUUUAUUCAA
Long non-coding RNA from Cannabis sativa, 1301 nucleotides. RefSeq lists it as uncharacterized. NCBI's taxonomy places the organism in Eukaryota, Viridiplantae, Streptophyta, Magnoliopsida, Rosales, Cannabaceae. The transcript has 2 exons. The record is from RefSeq and is a predicted model, not a curated record.